This 483-nucleotide ribosomal RNA is filed under the name uncultured bacterium. Its description in RNAcentral is "bacterial SSU rRNA". It matches the Rfam family "Bacterial small subunit ribosomal RNA", at positions 25 to 507 of the family's 1533-position model. The record is from RNAcentral.
CAGAACGAACGCUGGCGGCAUGCCUAACACAUGCAAGUCGAACGAAGCCUUCGGGCUUAGUGGCGCACGGGUGCGUAACGCGUGGGAAUCUGCCCCUCGGUUCGGAAUAACAGUUAGAAUGACUGCUAAUACCGGAUGAUGACGAAAGUCCAAAGAUUUAUCGCCGAGGGAUCGAAAGACCUCUCACUAUUGGAGCGGCCGAUAUCGGAUUAGCUAGUUGGUGGGGUAAAGGCCUACCAAGGCGACGAUCCGUAGCUGGUUUGAGAGGACGACCAGCCACACUGGGACUGAGACACGGCCCAGACUCCUACGGGAGGCAGCAGUGGGGAAUUUUGGACAAUGGGGGAAACCCUGAUCCAGCCAUUCCGCGUGUGCGAUGAAGGCCUUCGGGUUGUAAAGCACUUUUGGCAGGAAAGAAAUCGUGUGGGUUAAUACCCUGCGCGGAUGACGGUACCUGCAGAAUAAGCACCGGCUAACUACGUG